Molecule: RNA transcript, 1503 nt
Organism: Argentina anserina (silverweed cinquefoil)
Lineage: Eukaryota; Viridiplantae; Streptophyta; Magnoliopsida; Rosales; Rosaceae
Gene name: ribonuclease MRP protein subunit POP4
Exons: 9
Source: RefSeq, a predicted model, not a curated record
UCUAAAUCAAAACGGUGCGUACCGGACCUCUUCUUCUUCGCGCCGCUGAAGUUUCUGGUUGAAGUCACCCAAGGCUUUCCGUUCUCGUUCUGGUUUCCAUGGCCGGUGAGCCGAUGGUUCAGGACCAAAGGCAGCGCACUUUGCAGGCACUGGAGAGAAGGUUCGAGGCUGCCAAAGCCGAACUCGAUUUCCACCAAACGAAGAACACAAAGAGAUUGAAAACCGAAGGACCCCCAAGAUUGAAACCACAUGCCGCAAUUUCUUCAGCUAUUGAUUCUUCACCCAAGUUAGCCAACACACCAAAAGCAACUCCAUCGAAGAAAGGGAAUUUCACAUUUACUGGCUAUGUGAAUUCACAAGAUAUCGACGAGAAUGGUCCAACGUAUGCUAAACUAUCGCACCCUAUAGAUGAGCGUCUACUAGCAGCUAGUAAUGUUGAGGUCUCUGGUAGAGAAGAAAGUAAAGUUAGAAAUGUGUUGCAUGAGCUUUUUCAGAGUGGCGACUCUGCGCAGAAGUAUAUGCAAGGAUCAAAACGCAAAGACAUCGGCAACUGGAUGCUCCUUGAUAAUUAUGUGAAAGGACGUGGAGCUUCUGGCUUCCGUGCCAGGGCGUUGCAGAGGAAUUCAAAGCGAUCGAGGAAGCGUAUGUCGAUGAAGCAGCAAAAGAAGAAUGGAUUGUUUGAUUUUCCUCGAGAGCUGCAUAGCUAUGAUAAAUUUAAGCCAAUGCAUGAGAUGUGGAAAGGCUAUAUCACACAACUUCUCAAAACUACUGGGAAAACACAGCUGGCUCAGUCUCUUCUUAUUGCAGAUCUACAUGGUGCUAUUAUUUCAGCAGUUGUUGACUGUAAAGUGACUUCCUACACUGGAGUGAGUGGUAUCAUGAUCCGUGAAACAGCAGAAACAUUUGGCAUAAUUACAGAAGAUGAUAAAUUCCGAGUGGUGCCAAAAAGGUUUUCUGUUUUUGUAUUUCAAGUGGAUUGCUUGAAGAUUACCUUGCAUGGGGACAAACUGACUUCAAGAAACUUGGGUUCAUGAUCUCAGACAUGAUCAUUGCAGGACAGAUGAUCGUCAUCUUGUAAUAUAGAUAGUCAGUAUUUGUCAUGUUACAGCUUUCAGGAGUUUCAUUGAAGUUAAUGCCGAAAUGUCAAGUUUAUCGAUUGAACAGCAGGAUGAGCAGCUGGGAGGGCUUUGGCAUCAACGUUCAAAGGGUACUGAAUAUGACAUGAAGACUGGAGACUCACAAUUGCCAGUUGGUAUUUGACAUGAUUGCCGGCCACAAAAUACAGAAUGAGAAAAACCACAAAGUUGUCGGAGUUUAGGAAAGGAUCUAAUACUUGUCUCUUACUCCUCUUAGGUGGUCUUCUGGUGCAUCCUAAUUUUUGUCUCUUAGGGGGUCUUCUGUUUCAUCAUGUUUCAGUUAUAAGCAGUACGACAUUCAAAGAAGAUUAUGUAUGAUAUGCUUGAUUUAAUAACAAUCUGUAUACUGAUCAUACCAUCACAUCUC